CGGACGGGUGAGUAACACGUGGAUAACCUACCUAUAAGACUGGGAUAACUUCGGGAAACCGGAGCUAAUACCGGAUAAUAUAUUGAACCGCAUGGUUCAAUAGUGAAAGACGGUUUUGCUGUCACUUAUAGAUGGAUCCGCGCCGCAUUAGCUAGUUGGUAAGGUAACGGCUUACCAGGGCAACGAUGCGUAGCCGACCUGAGAGGGUGAUCGGCCACACUGGAACUGAGACACGGUCCAG
This 241-nucleotide ribosomal RNA is filed under the name uncultured Staphylococcus sp. Its description in RNAcentral is "partial 16S ribosomal RNA". It matches the Rfam family "Bacterial small subunit ribosomal RNA", at positions 99 to 334 of the family's 1533-position model. The record is from RNAcentral. Lineage: Bacteria; Bacillati; Bacillota; Bacilli; Caryophanales; Staphylococcaceae.